Bufo bufo (common toad) is the source of this 104-nucleotide long non-coding RNA. RefSeq lists it as uncharacterized. The transcript has 3 exons. NCBI's taxonomy places the organism in Eukaryota, Metazoa, Chordata, Amphibia, Anura, Bufonidae. The record is from RefSeq and is a predicted model, not a curated record.
GCCUUCUCAAACAGCUGAUCGGUGGCGGUCCUGGGCGUCUGACCCUCACCAAUUAGAUAUUGAUGACCUAUCCUAAGGAUAGGUCAUCACUAUUAAAAACCCAG